UUGCCAGACUCCUACGGGAGGCAGCAGUGGGGAAUAUUGCACAAUGGGGGAAACCCUGAUGCAGCAACGCCGCGUGGGUGAAGGAGCGUUUCGGCGCGUAAAGCCCUGUCAGCGGGGAAGAAGAAAGACGGUACCCGACCAAGAAGCCCCGGCUAACUACGUGCCAGCAGCCGCGGUAAUACGUAGGGGGCAAGCGUUAUCCGGAUUUACUGGGUGUAAAGGGGGCGCAGACGGCGAUGCAAGCCAGGAGUGAAAGCCCGGGGCCCAACCCCGGGACUGCUCUUGGAACUGCGUGGCUGGAGUGCAGGAGGGGCAGGCGGAAUUCCUGGUGUAGCGGUGAAAUGCGUAGAUAUCAGGAGGAACACCGGUGGCGAAGGCGGCCUGCUGGACUGCAACUGACGUUGAGGCCCGAAAGCGUGGGGAGCAAACAGGAUUAGAUACCCGCGUAAC
This 450-nucleotide ribosomal RNA is filed under the name uncultured bacterium. RNAcentral's name for it is "bacterial SSU rRNA". It matches the Rfam family "Bacterial small subunit ribosomal RNA", at positions 328 to 794 of the family's 1533-position model. The record is from RNAcentral.